CCUACGGGAAGCAGCAGUGAGGAAUAUUGGUCAAUGGGCGGAAGCCUGAACCAGCCAAGUAGCGUGCAGGAUGACGGCCCUACGGGUUGUAAACUGCUUUUAUACGGGAAUAACGCGCCUUACGUGUAGGGCUUUGCAUGUACCGUAUGAAUAAGGCCCGGCUAAUCCCGUGCCAGCAGCCGCGGUAAUACGGAAGGUCCGGGCGUUAUCCGGAUUUUAUGGGUUUAAAGGGAGCGUAGGCCGCAUGUCAAGCGUGCUGUGAAAUUUGCGGGCUCAACCCGGGCCUUGCAGCGCGAACUGGCGUGCUUGAGUCCGCGGAAAGCAGGCGGAAUGCGUCGUGUAGCGGUGAAAUGCUUAGAUAUGACGAAGAACCCCGAUUGCGAAGGCAGCUUGCUGCAGCGGAACUGACGCUGAUGCUCGAAAGCGCGGGUAUCGAACAGGAUUAGAUACCCGAGUAGUC
Molecule: ribosomal RNA, 460 nt
Filed under: uncultured bacterium
Lineage: Bacteria
Description: partial 16S ribosomal RNA
Rfam family: Bacterial small subunit ribosomal RNA
Source: RNAcentral